UAAUGCACAUUAUAUAACCUCAAGACUUAACAGUAAAGAACACCAAAUUUCAAUUGAGGCAAACCAGAAACAGAGCUACGGACAAAGUGAUAAAAUAAAAUAAAACAUCAAUAUCACAUUAUCACAUUUAACCAUUAAGAGAGAUGUACCAGAAUACAAAAUCUCCAAAGUCAGAAACAAAUACUACAUGUACAAUCUAGCAAAUGGAAUAACAAAAAAUAACAAUUUUUUUAAGGAGUUUUCAUGUGCUCUGUCUACUUGCCCUCCGUUGAUGAUACAUCUCUUGUGCUAAAUUUGUCCUCCAUGUAUUCCACUCUUCUGAGGUUUCUAUACUAGUUAUCAUGCUAUCUCCAAGUGAUUCCAUCUCAUUUACAGCAUCUAAUGCUUCCUCAAAAGGAUCACAUGACAUCUCCCUCCUAAUGAAGAAAAAUUGAAGAUGGGAAGCUCAGAGAGACAAGUUUAUAUAAUUUUAGAAAUGCAAAUGCUUAAAUCACAGGCUAACAAUAAUUGCCAAUGAAGGAGGUCCACACUCAACAAUAUAAAUUUUAAAAUCAAAAGUAAGUAUGAUUAAGUUAUAGAGAUAAUUGCCACAUCAAGCAUAAUAAUGAUGCAUUAGAAGAAAAAUUGAAGAUGGGAAGCUCAAAGAGAUAAGUUUAUAUAAUUUCAUAAAUGCAAAAUGAUCGAAUUUGAAAGAAUGCGAUGGAAGAAACCUGGAACUUGUUACCCGAAAGCCAUAGAUUUAUGAUUGGCACAAUGAAAAGUGGAAACUUGUUACAUAGCAAAGCACAUCAAAUUCUCUAAAACAUUACCUAAUCGAAAUAAUUAUGCACUUAACAAACUCAACAAACUCAAAGAUGAACAUCAGCAAUACUAAUUCCCAUUAUCAUACACUCAACGAACAAACGAAUCAAGGCUACUCCAAUAAACUUAGCCAUAAUUAAUUAAUCAAAGCUAGUUUAAUAAACAAACGAUGGCAGCGGCUGUGCUGUGCAAAUGGAUGAAAAUUGGAGAAGGGGCUGCAGGUUAUAGAGAAAUUGUAAGACAAAAUAUUUUAGGGUUUCAUAUUUUAAAUUUUAAGUAAGGGUAAAAUUAGAAAUUAAAAAAUAUAGUAGGGUUACAAAUGACAAUUUGAAUAUUUUUAAGUGAUGAAAUUAGAAUUUCUAUCCCCUCAUAGAAGAAAAUUGAAUUCCUUACUACAACAGAAAUUAAAUUUCUAUGGAGAUUAAUUUCCAGCUAGUUUAUUCCAACCAAACAAAAGAAAUUAUUAGGGAUUUUAAAUUCAGCUCCUC
RNAcentral lists this long non-coding RNA (1289 nucleotides) under Citrus maxima (pomelo). RNAcentral describes it as "long non-coding RNA (CMAX_LNC001365)". The record is from RNAcentral. Lineage: Eukaryota; Viridiplantae; Streptophyta; Magnoliopsida; Sapindales; Rutaceae.